Long non-coding RNA from Gallus gallus (chicken), 365 nucleotides. The record is from Ensembl. NCBI's taxonomy places the organism in Eukaryota, Metazoa, Chordata, Aves, Galliformes, Phasianidae.
GUGCCUUUGUCAUCUGCUAGCUCCUGCACUCAGCCAUGCCUAAAGGCUUGUUUUGGUGCUCCCAGAAACAGCUGAUAAAUGUGUUUGCAAUGAAGUGGAACAUGUUUAACACAACAAUGAUUAGAUGUAAGCUAAAAUGUCCUCAGAUUAAACAUCUAUCAAAAUCGCUCUUUUGAUUUUUAAGGAACAUAUGUGGUAGGUGCAUCAGGAGGAGACACUGUCAGACACAAUCUUUCUGAAGGAGUAGUUUCUGAAAAGAGGUUGAUGGAUGUACAUCAAAUUGCUGAUCUGCAAAGGCACUGCAAACCUAUGUUGAACCAUAUCCAGGAUGACAAGAUACUCUCAGCCUUUAAAUCUUGUGGUCU